GACAGAGGCCUCGAGCGUUAGGCGGAAUCACUGGGCUUAAAGCGUGUGUAGGCGGAUCGUUAAGUGCCUUGUGAAAUCCCACGGCUUAACUGUGGAACGGCUGGGCAUACUGGCGGUCUUGAGCCAUCUAGGGGCGACUGGAACAAACGGUGGAGCGGUGAAAUGCGUAGAUAUCAUUUGGAACGCCAAUGGUGAAAACAGGUAGCUGGGAGUGUGCUGACGCUGAGACACGAAAGCCAGGGGAGCAAACGGG
Molecule: ribosomal RNA, 253 nt
Filed under: uncultured bacterium
Lineage: Bacteria
Description: partial 16S ribosomal RNA
Rfam family: Bacterial small subunit ribosomal RNA
Source: RNAcentral